GGGGGGAGCAAGCGUUGUUCGGAAUCACUGGGCGUAAAGGGCGUGUAGGCGGUCAAGUAAGUGGGAUGUGAAAUCCUUCGGCUUACCCGAAGACCUGCAUCUCAAACUGCUUGGCUUGAGUAUGGGAGAGGAUGAGGGAAUUCCUGGCGUAGCGGUGAAAUGCGUAGAUAUCAGGAGGAACACCGGUGGCGAAGGCGCUCAUCUGGCCCAAUACUGACGCUGAGGCGCGAAAGCUAGGGGAGCAAACGGGAUUAGAUACCCCGGUAGUCCUAGCCGUAAACGGUGAUCACUAGGUGUUGGAGGCAUCGACCCCUCCAGUGCCGCAGCUAACGCAUUAAGUGAUCCGCCUGGGGAGUACGGCCGCAAGGUUG
RNAcentral lists this ribosomal RNA (371 nucleotides) under uncultured bacterium. Its description in RNAcentral is "bacterial SSU rRNA". It matches the Rfam family "Bacterial small subunit ribosomal RNA", at positions 527 to 896 of the family's 1533-position model. The record is from RNAcentral.